UUGUUAAUCUGUCUGUUAUGUGUGCGUCUAAUUGAAGAGACACCCUGAACAGGCUAAGUGUGAGCAACAAGGUUGUUUAUUCACUGGGUGCGGGUGGGCUGAGUCCGAAAAGGAAGUGGUGGGGUUGGAGCUAGUUUUAUACUUUAGGGGUAAGCAGUGGAAAGUUAUAGUUCGGAGCUGUUUAUUGAGGGCAGGGGAAGAAUGUCAUAAGGUACAUUAUCAUAAGGUUACAGAGCACAGUGUCAUGAGGUUGAUUGAUCAGUUAGGGUACAGCCUGUUACAAUGAUAGAAUGUCACAAGGUUGGCUGAUCAGCUAAGACAGGAACUAGCCGUUUUUCUUCUUUUGUGGUUUUCCUGUCGUCCCAGACUUUCUGGCUCCAGGAGACCUUCUGGAUGUGUACGUGUGAGUCACAGGGGUCACGAUGGCUUGACCAUGGCGCCGCCUGCUCAGAGGACCUUACAUUCCUGUCUUUUUAUGCUAACAAAACAAAACAAGAAAAAGUAGUGAAAUGUUGGGGUGGUGAAAAUUUUGGGGAUGGUAUGGAGAGAUGAUGGGCGAUGUUUUUCAGGGCUUCUUCGAGCAGGCUUAGGGACGGCGUGGGAACCUAAGGUGGGAGAGAUUAAACAGAAGAAAGAUCUUGGGGUAAGGGGGAUACUGUGCAGUUGCUAGAAGGGGCAUUUGUCGUACUGACUGAUUAGUAAUAGCUUGGAUGCGAUUUUGUAUGAACUGAGAGAUGAGUCUAAAAAGACAAAGUCCCAAUAAGAUGAGGAGAAGGAUGAGUGCAAAGGGGCCUGUCAGUGGAAGGAACCAUGAAUCUAAGCUAGAGAAUGGCCAGGUAGUGCCAGUAUAACUAUUUGCCUGAUUAGUGAGCUUUUGGGCUCUGUCUUUAAGUUUUUUAAUGUUGUCAUAUACAAGGCCUGAUUGAUUUAAGUAAAAGCAGCACUCUUCAUUUAAGAAUAGGCAGAGUCCUCCUUUGUCAGCAGUAAGCAGAUCGAGGCCUUGGCGAUUUUGGAGGACAGCUGCGGCUAAGGAAUCGACCUGGGUUUGGAGGACAGAAAGUGUUUGAGUUAUAUCAGUAAGGCUAGUGGAGAAGUCACUGAAAAGACUGCAAAACGUGUUGAUGGAAGUUAUAAGACCUGCUAUUCCUGUUCCACUGGCAGUGGCUGAAACUCCUAAUCCUACAAGCAAGGGAGUUAAUGGGAUGACUUUUUUUUUUUUUUUUUUUUUGUCAUGUUGGAGUUAUGAGGGGAAUGGGGAGUUGUUUGUUUCCAUUUGUAAACUCGAUCUUGGGAGUAAGGAAGAUUAAAGUGAAGGUGCCUGUCCAAUUGGCAGGGAGGCACAUGUAUGCGGAAAAACCAACAGAAACAAAAAGAGUCCAUGAGGCAGGCAUAACUGGAAGUGGAGAGUAAAAAAAAUGAGAGUGUGUUCUGGAAGCAGAGUCCUGCACCCAGAGCCCUAGGGAUCCAGCAAGGGCAGCGGCUAUUAGAGGUUGUAGUGGGGUUUGGUAGGAUAACUGUGUAGAGGGAGAGGUUCUGUUUUAAUGGUGUGAAAAAAAGAAUUUGGUAUCUGUAAGUAGCCAUUCACUGUUAUUUAUAAGACUAGGUAUAAACAGGCAGGCAGAAGGCCUUGGAGGGGAAUCCAUUGAACAGGGGAAGGAUAGCCAAGGAUGGAGUGAGAGCCAGGGUAAAUGUCUUCCUAGGCAAAAGUUGCUACUGAUGUUUUUAAGAGUGUUAGUGAUGAGGGAGGGCUUUUCUGUAAUACGAAGCUGGAAUGCUCCAAUAUUUUGGUUAAUGUGGGUGGCAGGGCCUUGGAGGUAAAGAGUAAAGGAACAUAAGGAAGAUGGGAGGUAACCCAAGGGAAUUCCAGCAGGUAAUUGUAGGGAGAUGCAUAAGGGGGCAGCAAUGGGGAUAGUUGUUUGUAUAGUGAGGGGUCCAAGAACAGGAGGUGUGGAAGUGACGUAGGGAGAUAGAUUUCGUAGGUAGGAGGAAGAGAGGGAAAUGCAUAGGAAGGAUUGGAGAUGGUGAAGAGGGAGUGGGUGAGGUUGAUGGUAUUCUGGAGAUAAUUAGGGAGGGAUAGAGGGUGGCAGGAGAACGGGAGUAAGACAAAGAGUAAGUAUAAAAGAAAAGAACUUCAUCAGGAUGGAAGAAUUGGAGAGUACUUUGCCACAGAAGGUCAUCUAUCCACUCUAAGAGAGAGUUAAGGGUAGCAGCUGGAGGGUGACUCCAUGAGGUAUCAGCUACAAUGGUCUGGAGGAAAAGCGUGAACUGGCAGUAUAGACAAAAGCAGGGCAUUUAGAAGUAGGUGAGAAUGGUGAUUAGGGGCAUAAGUAGACAGAGUUUAAAUAGUGGGGUGACUGUGUAAAGGUCUACUGUAAAUAAAAGGUAUACAGGUUUAUUGUUCUUUUUCAGGAAUGCGGGUAAGUUUAAGGGAAGUAGGAGAGAGUACUUGUGACUUCCAGGAGGAGGUGGAGGAGCUAGGCUGGUCGUCAGAUGGGCAUAGUUUUAUCCUGGAGCGAUGAAUCCAGUGGGGAGGAUUCUGUAGACUGACCACUGUUGGGGUACUAUAGAUGACCAGGUAGGAUCCUGUCCACAGAGGUUGUAGAGUUUGAGGGGUUAGGUUCUUAACGAGAACUGACAGUCCAGCUAGGGUGUCUUCAUAUCACUGGGUCUCUGGAGUAGGUAACAGGAAAUUGGCAGCUUGGCAGAUUUUAUGUCUAGCCUGUUGAAGGACAAGAAGAUAAUCACCAAGAGGGCUGGUGUUUGGAAUAAGGUUGGGCCCAAGCAGAAAGGUGCGACCAUAUAAGAGUUUAAAUGGACUGUACCUGGUGGGUUCCUGGGGUGUGGCUCGAAUUAGGAGGAGUGCAAGGGGUAGAAGAGUGGUCCAGUCUUUCUGAAGCUGGAGGGUAAGUUUAGCGAGGUGUGUUUUUAAAAGGCCGUUGGCUUUCUCUACUUUUCCAGAGGACUGAGGGUGAUAGGGGGCAUAAAGAUUCCAUUGGAUACCAACGGCUGGUUAAUGAAGGCCGGCCUGUUAUCAGACUGUAUGGAAGUAGGGAGACAAAACCGGGGGAUUAUGUCUGUUAGAAGAGACAAAAUAAUGGCCCUGGCUUUUUUAGACCUCCUGGGAAAAGCC
This 3130-nucleotide long non-coding RNA is filed under the name Homo sapiens (human). Its description in RNAcentral is "HSALNT0108036". The record is from RNAcentral. Lineage: Eukaryota; Metazoa; Chordata; Mammalia; Primates; Hominidae.